GCAUUGGUGGUUCAGUGGUAGAAUUCUUGCUUUCCAGGCAGGGGAUCCAGGUUUAAUUCCUGGCCAAUGCA
RNAcentral lists this transfer RNA (71 nucleotides) under Loxodonta africana (African savanna elephant). It matches the Rfam family "tRNA". Rfam says of the family: Transfer RNA (tRNA) molecules are approximately 80 nucleotides in length. Their secondary structure includes four short double-helical elements and three loops (D, anti-codon, and T loops). Lineage: Eukaryota; Metazoa; Chordata; Mammalia; Proboscidea; Elephantidae. The record is from Rfam by way of RNAcentral.